UGCUUCCACUGCAGGGGUUUGUUAGGAGUGUGAAUAGGUACCUCUGCUCAGCUGCUCCAAUUUACAAUUUAACUUCUUGAUGCUGUGAUGCUUGCAGCUGUUACACCUGCAUGUGCCCUCUGUUGGGAGCACAACCAGCAGGGCAUUUCCCUCCAUGCUGCAGAAGGGAGCAGGAUGUGUGCUUGUACCUCUGCAGGAUGCCUUUGCCUUUUCAGGAUGACAAGAUGCCUUGCUCUGGUUUUCUACAGGAAUUCUUUUCCAGUGUGGAUCCUAGCCCUUGCUGUUCAUCCUCUAAAUGAGAUUAUUAUAAUGCCUCUGUGAAGUGGCAGUGUCUCAGUUCCUGGGAGGGUCCUCCCUGAGCAGCAGGUCCAUGUUUGAUGUCUCCAGUCACUGCGAACAUUCAGAAACAGGAGGAAAUUUUCUCCCUUGUGGUGCUUCUUCAGUAUAGAAGCUGGGAAGUAAAUUUGAGAUUUGGAAGAAGCAAAGGUUUUAGGUGAGAUGGGGGUGAGAUGCAACCAAAGGCUACAUUGACUGAUAUAGGAACAGCUCUCUGAGGUGUGAAAAUUGAGGGUGACAGAAACAUUCCAGAAGACAACUGUGAGCAUUUUCCACAUUUCUUGGGCCGCAAUCUUUAAGGAAGAGUCUUCCCUGGAGGUGUGGAUUUUACAGAUCAUCUUGAGUGAGAUCACACAGCGUGUGGGACAGAUGAGGAUCAGGCACAGCCAGCAUGGAUUCAUGAAAGACAGGUCCUGCUUGACCAACCUGAUCUCCUUCUGUGAUUGAGUGACCCACCUGGUGGAGGGAAAGGCUAUUGAUGUAGUCUGUCUAGAUUUCAACAAAGUCUUUGACACUGUCCCCCACAGUAUUUUCCUGGAGAAGCUGGCAGCCUGUGGAGGAGCAGGGAGGUGAUCACCCCCUUGUAGUCAGCUCUGGUGAGGCCGCACCUGGAGUACUGUGUUCAGUUUUGGGCCCCUCACUACAACAAGGACAUUGCGAUGAGGUGAGGGUUGGCCUCUUCUCCCAUGUAGCUAGCAACAGAACAAGAGGGAAUGGCCUCAAGUUACGCUAGGGGAGAUUCAGGUUGAAUAUUAGGAGAAAUUUCUUCUCUGAAAGAGCAGUCAGGUGCUGGAAUGGGCUGCUGGGUCACUGUCCCUGGAGGUGUUCAAGAAAGGUGUAGAUGUACUAAGAGAUGUGGUUUAGUGGGGGAAUAUUGGUGGUAGGUGGAUGGUUGGACUAGAUGACCUUAGACAUCUUUUCUAACCUUCACAAUUCUAUGAUUCGAAGGGAAACGCUGGCUGACCAUUUCAAAAGUUUAACCAGAUCUCCAUUUCCCACUUACAUUUCUCUGUUCUGCUGUCCUAUAAUCUCCCUUGAGUUCACAGCUCAAGUACUCAUCAUUAUUUAAGUUGUUACAUUCUUUUUUGCCAAUGUUGUUCCUCACUGUUGAACUUUUUGUUAAUUCUGAGUCAAUUUUCCCAGCUUCCUUCUAUCAAUACCAGCAUAUUAACAUAUGCAAUUUGGGGACCAUUUUUACACCCUGGAACAUGACAAG
Gallus gallus (chicken) is the source of this 1552-nucleotide long non-coding RNA. The record is from Ensembl. Lineage: Eukaryota; Metazoa; Chordata; Aves; Galliformes; Phasianidae.